RNAcentral lists this ribosomal RNA (207 nucleotides) under uncultured bacterium. RNAcentral's name for it is "partial 16S ribosomal RNA". It matches the Rfam family "Bacterial small subunit ribosomal RNA", at positions 568 to 774 of the family's 1533-position model. The record is from RNAcentral.
CGUGUAGGCGGAGAUGCAAGUUGGGAGUGAAAUCCCGGGGCUCAACCCCGGAACUGCUUUCAAAACUGUAUCCCUUGAGUAUCGGAGAGGCAAGCGGAAUUCCUAGUGUAGCGGUGAAAUGCGUAGAUAUUAGGAGGAACACCAGUGGCGAAGGCGGCUUGCUGGACGACAACUGACGCUGAGGCGCGAAAGCGUGGGGAGCAAACA